This 308-nucleotide long non-coding RNA is filed under the name Eutrema salsugineum. Its description in RNAcentral is "long non-coding RNA (ESAL_LNC000901)". The record is from RNAcentral. Lineage: Eukaryota; Viridiplantae; Streptophyta; Magnoliopsida; Brassicales; Brassicaceae.
GUGAAUCCUCUUCUAGUUUUUACAUAUGCAUACUCGUACAUCCCCAUGCUCAAAUAUUUAUGAGUCCAUACUUUUCAAGUGCAGUGUAUCAUACGUUGCCACUUGAAAAAUUCAAAUGCAAAAGCAAUAUGGACCACUCCCCCAAUCCAAUGUAAGUAUUGUGAGCUGAUAAUUAUUAUUGAUGUCAUGCCAAAGGCUUAUAUACACGAUACAAAGGAGAAGAUCUCUAUGUGAUCUUUAGACAGAUAAGAUCGUAUAAUAUCUUUACAAGGAAUAUCUCAGAAAUAUACUGGUAUAUACUAACAUCC